UUUCAUACCAAAGUGCCAGAGCUAAGGUCAUCAUAAAACCAUGCCAUCCAGAGUUGUGUUUAAGAAAACAGUAAUUUAUCAAAUUUACCUUUAUUGAUUUUAGAACCUAAGAACCUGAAGUGUGGUAUGAAAUAAUUUAUCUCAGGCAGAAAUAUUCCUAGAAUCUCUACCACACAACUUCUCUGGCCCCAAGGACAGCAGAUGGGUUUCCUCACUGCAACAACUCCACAUUCUAGUAAUUCUGGAAAGGAAGUGUCCACCCACCAGCCAAUUGCCAUGUCUUUGGGGGCCAGAAGAGCCCUGAGUUCCUAUUGCAAGGCAACCACCUCCAUUUUCUACAAAAUCAAGAGAAGCUUCUAAAACAACAGCUACUAAGGAAAAAAAAAAUUUUUUUGGUAACACCUGCAGCAUAUGUAAGUUCCUGGGCCAGGGACUGAAUCUGAGCUGCGGCUGCAACCAACACCACACCUACGCCAACACCAGAUCUUUUAACCCACUGUGCAGGGCAGGGCCAGAGAUCGAACCUACAUUUCUGCAGAAACCUGAGCCACUACAGGAACUCCAGAAACAUUUUGUUUUUGAUCACCUAUGAUUUUUUAUUCUAAGGGUCAUGUGGCUUGGGCUGUUUUCCCAGGGGUAAAAUUGAGGUCGGAGUGAAUUAAGAAAUUCCUAUUUGCUAUCCACGAUCUCUGUAUCCAUACAACCUAAUAGCUACUUGAUUUACAAGUAUUUAAGAACUUUAGAGCAAAAUUCAUUCCUAACACAAAAAAAACAGACAUAAAAAACUCCUGGCAAUGGGUUAAGCUGAUGAAAGCAAGAUACUAGCCAGGCCCUUGGAAAAAUCUAUGACAAGAUAGGUAGCCAGUGACAAUUCUUUAAAUCAUUGCUUCCCAAUGCUGUCAUCUCACAACACUCAGGGAAAAUGGCACAGUGGGGUGAACUGGAGGAGAUGGGGUGGGGGAAUCCUUAUAUACUUAUGAUUUUAAAAUAAAACAGAAGUAUUAGGAAAGAUAUUAAGUAUUGAAAUAUUUUUAAACUUCCAAAUAAGAUAUUUUCAGAUUUUUAAUGCAAAAUCUCAGCUUUCUCUUUCAAAUACAACUUUUUCAUACAAGGUCUUAUGCAUAAAUUAACUAUAUAUACCUUCUGACGCAGGCUUUCUAACUCAUGAUCCCCAGAAUUCUUGGUCACUGUCAUUGACAAACUAUGCACCAGCAAGUGGUUAAUUUUUUAAACAUUUUACCACCAUCCAAAAAUUUAUAACCACUAAAGCUAUAUUUAGGGAAACUAAGCUCUUCCUCACUAUAACCACAUUAGAGUUACUGCAGUCAAAACAACCUUUCUCUCUUUACCUAUCUCUCCGACAUCAUCCUUUAACUUUCCACUGCCUGGAAAGCUCCAUUUCACUGAGGUCUCUUUACAGAGGGGACAGAGACUCACCUUCAUACCACACAAGGAUCACAAACAGAUGUCAAAAUGAAACUCCCCUAAAGGAUUUCAAACUCUAAAAUAUUCUGAAUCAAAUGCAACUUUUUUUUAAGGAAGUUUUAUACAUUACUUUUAAAUGAAUUUCUUUCAUCCUAUGGGGACUUUCAUGCACAUCAUCUUGAGAUCCUUAGGAUGAUUCUUUUAAGAAAAGGAUGAGAAGCUGAUACAGAUUUGUACUGGCCCAGAAUCACUGUACUAGUAAACAGUGAUCUCAGAUAUCCUGACUCAAGAGCCACUGUACUUCUUUGUCAUAUCUCUUAUACACCUGAAGUUAACCACCCAUGCCCUGUAGGCUCCCAACUAAAAAGCAGAAGGUCGUAGUAUAAACAGUGGCUAUUACCUUUGUGUCUCAAGGGUCUGAAGUCACUGUGGCCCAAAGUGGACAGACUUCAAAGGUGCCUGGGACUGUCCAGGAGAGAUCCUGCUAAAAGGGGCCUGGAUCCAGGGUAAGGUGGAGAAAACUACCCCCUUCCUUCGCCUCAGCUCUUUUUCCACUUCUUAUUUCUCCACUCUUCAGCCUUAUCACAGUCCUGCAUUUUCCUUUCUUCAAUGAGUAUGAAACCAAUGAAAAAUGAAUUUUUGAUUAAGGCAAUUUCAUAGAGUAAAGUAAUUCACUAAGGACCAGUAGGGUCUACACAUGAAGGAAGCCAGGACAGUUCAUCUAUGACUUAAGAACAUAAAGAGAGAAAGAAAGAUUAGUUUCUAUGCAGAUGAGCCACAGCCGUUAAGCACAUGCUGGCAGGGCCACCUCCUUUACCCUAACUUCCUCCAGCAUCUGUUACUCGAUGGGCCUCCAUCACAGACAGUACUGUGUUCCAGAAACGGCUACACAACCAGUUUUCUCCAUAUGGCUAAAAUGGGUCUGUAUCCACAGGUGUUAAAUUUUUAGGCCAGGCACUCUCAAAAUCUGGAUGGGCACAACACUUAUGUGAUCAUAUGAUUCCAGUACUGCAUUUCUUAUGCAUCACUGAAAAUAUGGGACAUUUCUGAAAAAAAAUUUUUUUAAAAAGAUUGUAGACUAAGGCUUAGGUUCAUUCCCACCUAUCUCUCAGCAGCUAUAUCCAGCUUCUCAGAAAGGAUAGCAUUGUAUAUUGAGCCUGUUGGAUUCCAUCUUUCUAAAUGAUUAAUUGGCACUGCCUCAAAUUCCUCUAUAAUUUUUGUUCUAGCAACUUUGUUUGGCAACUUUUGCCUCCAUGAAGUUUUUCCUCACCUUGGAUAUUCUCCUUCCGUGAGGUAAGAAGAGCAAAAAACACCCUGCUGGGUAGUCUCUUGCCUUCUUCAGCUCCAGUUCUUGGCAAGUCCCCUUUAUGCCCUUCAUGCCCUAAAGUCCUAGGUGAACCCCUCAAAAACUAAUAAAUCAAGAUUACUGUCCAGGUUGUUUAUACUGCAUUACUAUGUAAAGCCUUCUCUAAACAAAUCAAAAUGGAAUUAUACCACUAUCUCAAUUUCAUAUUUCCUAAUGAAGGGUUGAUGGUUGGUACCUCACGUGAAAACCCAACACUGGAAGCCACUAAUAACUAAUUCACGUAACUCAACUGUUGCAAGAGUUUGCCAAGGUUUUUCUAUUUUGGAAAUUAAGAUGUCUCACACCUUCAUCAUCUGGGUCAGGUGCAAACCUCAGAAAUCCUUUAGCUGUGAACACUAAAAAUUACAGUAAUAAGGAGUUCCCAUCGUGGCUCAGUGGUCAAUGAAUCCAACUAGGAACCAUGAGGUUGCUGGUUCGAUCCCUGGCCCUCACUCGGUAGGUUAGCGAUCCAGCGUUGCCGUGAGCUGUGGUGUGGGUCAAAGCCAAAGUUCAGAUCUGGCGUUGCUGUGGCUGUUGGUCUAGGCCAGCAGCUACAGCAACUCGGGAUCCGAGCCACGUCUGCGACCCACACCACAGCUCAUGGCAACGCAAUGCCAGAUCGUUAACCCAUUGAGCAAGGACAGGGAUGGAACCCACAACCUCAUGGUUCCUAGUCGGAUUCGUUAACCACUGCGCCACAACGGGAACUCCUUAAAUUCAUUUUUUAAUUUUAAUGAGUUGUUUCCAAUUUCAUACUCCCUGAAGUGGGAAACCCAUUAACUCAAGAAUAAGUCAGGCAAAAUGUGUCACACGUAAGGAAGUUUUUGCAUAGCUCUGCUUGUGUUAUUUUUUAUGAUUCCAAAUACAAAUUCCCACAGUCCUUGAACAGUAUUUUAUACUCAAUUUCACUUUCAGUAGGAUUAGGCAUAUGUGACCUCUCCUUCCUUUCUUAAGCACUUCUCUAGACUUCCCUGACUGUUGGGAUUUCUUUCAACCCCAUUAGCUGCUCCUUCUCAGCCUUCUUUGCUGAAUCCACCUCGUUUUCCUACCUUGAAAUUGUUAGUCUUACUCAGAGUUCAGUCAUAGACUUUCUCUCUGUCUCACACAUUCCUUAGGUAAACACAUGCACUCCUGAGAUUUUUAAGGCUAUUUCCUACUUGAAAUCCAAUACUGUAUCUCUGGCUUAACCUUCUAUAUCUCAACAUCUGCACUUGGAUGUGUUACAGAGAGCUUAACACAAAAGAUAUGAAAAGAAAAUUCAGGUGCUGAUUUAGAUUUAAGAAAAGUCUAGAAGGGCAACAUAUUUCUGUUUAUCCCUUGCUGCAGUAUCUCUCCAACAGCUUUUUUAAAAUUUUAUUGGGGUCUAUUGAAAUACAGUAAACUGCACAGUUUUACAAUGUAUAAUCUGAUUUGUUUUGACAAACAUACUUGUAAAACAAUCGCCACAAAGAUAAUACUUUAUCACCCUAAGAAGUUUUGUCCUCUCCUUUAGUAAUCCCUCCCUCCCUUUACUCUCAUUUACAGACAAUUAAUCUUCUUUCUGUCACUAUAGAUUAGUUUACAUUUUCCAGAGUUCUAUAUAAAUGGACUCAGAUGAAAUACACUCUUCUGUGCUUAGACUCUUUCACUCACUAUAAUGAUUUUUAUUGAAGUACAGGUGGUUUGUAAUAUUAUUUUACUUUCAGGUGUAUAAAAGAGUGCUUCAACAUUUUUAAAGGUUAUGCUCCAUUUAAAGUUCUUAAAAAUAAUGGCUGUAUUUCCCAGUAAUGUGCAAUACAGCCUUGUUUUUGCUUACUUAUUUUAUACAUAGUAAUUUCUAUUUCUUAAUCCCCUACCCCUAAUCUUGUCCCUCCCUCUUUUCCCUCUCCCCACUGAUAACCACUAAUUCAUUCUCAAUUAUCUUCACAUAAUAAUUCUGCGAUUCAUCCCUGUUACUCGUGUUCACGUGUUCACGGUUCAUUCCUUUUUAUUGAUGGGUAAUAUUCUGUUGUAUGGUCAUACCACAAUUUGUUUAUCCAUUCUCCUGUUAUGUCCAUUUGGGUUAUUUCUAGGUUGUGUUUGUUACAUAUAAAACUGCUAUCAUCAUUUGUGUACAGGUCUCUGUAUGGACUUAAUGCUUGUUUGUUUGUUUUCCUUAGGUAAAUACCAAGAUUGGAAUAGUCAGAUCAUACAGUAUAUACACCCGAAGUCUUUAAGAAACUGCUGAUUUAAGUUCAAGCUGGCAACAUAGGAGGCUCCUAACUCACAACUCCCAUGGACACAAUGAAUCUAGAGUCAUAUAUAGAACAAUUAGCUCUGAAAGAAAUCCAGAGACUAGCUGAGUAACUCCUACACAUUGGAUGAACAAGGAAAAUUUCCUCACAUUGAAAUGAGUAGGAGAGGCUGAUAAGCAAUGAGAUCCUGCUGUAUAGCACUGGGAACUACAUCUAGUCACUUAUGAUGGAACAUGAUAAUGUGAGAAAAAGAAUGUAUAUAUGUAUGUGUGACAGGGUCACCUUGCUGCACAGUAGAAAACUGACAGAACACUAUAAACCAGCUAUGAUGGGAAAAAAAAAAUCACUUAAAAACAGAAAAAAGAAAAAAAAAAGAAUGAGCAAUAUAUGAAUUAAUUAGUUCCACAGAUGAUUUUAAGUAUUUACUGCAUCUGACACAGUGCUGAAUGCUUGGCUUUGAUUAUUCUCUUGUCUAAAAAUCUCAAAUUAAUGAAGAGUAUAUAUACAGUGGGGUUUUUUGUUUGUUUGCUUGCUUCAAGUUAAUUGAAAUUUUCAAAAAAGCUCCCAUAACCUCCAUCAUGGGACUCAGCCUUAAGGGACACCUGAAACUUGAUAAAGACAUCUAUUAGAAAUAGCUUCCUCAUUAAUUUAACUAAGGCUUUCAAAUUUCAAUUUCUUCUUACAAUUCAAUUAAAGCUCUGCUUUUAUUAAACAAAGACCUCUCACAAAGAAAGAAAAGAAAGAAAGAAA
Molecule: long non-coding RNA, 5733 nt
Filed under: Sus scrofa (pig)
Lineage: Eukaryota; Metazoa; Chordata; Mammalia; Artiodactyla; Suidae
Description: lncRNA (ENSSSCG00005035398.1)
Source: RNAcentral